Molecule: small nuclear RNA, 103 nt
Filed under: Mesocricetus auratus (golden hamster)
Lineage: Eukaryota; Metazoa; Chordata; Mammalia; Rodentia; Cricetidae
Source: RNAcentral
GCGCUCACUUCAGUAGCAGGCAUUCUAUAGCUGUGAUAGACAGAAGAUUAGCACGGCCCUGCCCAAGGAUGAUGGGCAAAUCCAUCAAGCCUUACAUACUUCU